RNAcentral lists this ribosomal RNA (253 nucleotides) under uncultured bacterium. RNAcentral's name for it is "partial 16S ribosomal RNA". It matches the Rfam family "Bacterial small subunit ribosomal RNA", at positions 524 to 776 of the family's 1533-position model. The record is from RNAcentral.
UACGAAGGGGGCUAGCGUUGUUCGGAAUCACUGGGCGUAAAGGGCGCGUAGGCGGCUUUAUAAGUCGGGGGUGAAAGCCUGUGGCUCAACCACAGAAUUGCCUUCGAUACUGUAGAGCUUGAGACCGGAAGAGGUUAGUGGAACUGCGAGUGUAGAGGUGAAAUUCGUAGAUAUUCGCAAGAACACCAGUGGUGAAGGCGGCUGACUGGUCCGGUUCUGACGCUGAGGCGCGAAAGCGUGGGGAGCAAACAGG